UUCCAGACUCCUACGGGAGGCAGCAGUGGGGAAUAUUGCACAAUGGGGGAAACCCUGAUGCAGCGACGCCGCGUGAGCGAAGAAGUAUUUCGGUAUGUAAAGCUCUAUCAGCAGGGAAGAAAAUGACGGUACCUGACUAAGAAGCCCCGGCUAAAUACGUGCCAGCAGCCGCGGUAAUACGUAUGGGGCAAGCGUUAUCCGGAUUUACUGGGUGUAAAGGGAGUGCAGGCGGCUUGGCAAGUCUGGAGUGAAAUGCCGGGGCCCAACCCCGGAACUGCUUUGGAAACUGUGCAGCUCGAGUGCAGGAGAGGUAAGCGGAAUUCCUAGGGUAGCGGUGAAAUGCGUAGAUAUUAGGAGGAACACCAGUGGCGAAGGCGGCUUACUGGACUGUAACUGACGUUGAGGCUCGAAAGCGUGGGGAGCAAACAGGAUUAGAUACCCUGGUACG
RNAcentral lists this ribosomal RNA (448 nucleotides) under uncultured bacterium. RNAcentral's name for it is "bacterial SSU rRNA". It matches the Rfam family "Bacterial small subunit ribosomal RNA", at positions 329 to 793 of the family's 1533-position model. The record is from RNAcentral.